UGCCAGCCGCCGCGGUAAUACGGAGGGUCCAAGCGUUAUCCGGAUUCAUUGGGUUUAAAGGGUGCGCAGGCGGACUAUUAAGUCAGUGGUGAAAUCCAACAGCUCAACUGUUGAACUGCCAUUGAAACUGAUAGUCUUGAGUAUGGUUGUGGUAGGCGGAAUAUAGCAUGUAGCGGUGAAAUGCUUAGAUAUGCUAUAGAACACCGAUCGCGAAGGCAGCUUACCAAGCCAUUACUGACGCUCAUGCACGAAAGCGUGAGGAGCAAACAGGAUUAGAUA
This 279-nucleotide ribosomal RNA is filed under the name uncultured bacterium. RNAcentral's name for it is "partial 16S ribosomal RNA". It matches the Rfam family "Bacterial small subunit ribosomal RNA", at positions 506 to 784 of the family's 1533-position model. The record is from RNAcentral.